Unclassified non-coding RNA from Fukomys damarensis (Damara mole-rat), 347 nucleotides. Its record names the gene 7SK. It matches the Rfam family "7SK RNA". From Rfam's summary of the family: 7SK was discovered as an abundant small nuclear RNA in the mid-70s but a possible function has only recently been suggested. The record is from Ensembl. NCBI's taxonomy places the organism in Eukaryota, Metazoa, Chordata, Mammalia, Rodentia, Bathyergidae.
CAAAGAUCUGGUCGUGACAUCUGUCACCACAUUGAUCUCCAGGGUUGAUUUGGCUGGUCUGCCUGACUAGGCAAGUGUUCCCUUUCUCCUUCACUUUUCCACACGUGUCCCUCCUGAAGCUGUACGCUCAGUCUGAGAGGACAACCUUCCACAACAGAGUAGGGCCAUUUCCUGGGUCAAGGGUAUACGAGUAGUUAGCUCCCCUGCUAGAACCCCCAAACAAACUCUCAAAGUGUGUUCUCAUGUCCUUUAACCUUCACAGCUGCCCUAGGUGAGAGGAAGGCAUUAUUGCUGUUCACAUCUCACAAAUAAGGAGCCUUGGGAAAAAGAGCAAAAUGUCUCAAAAU